Molecule: ribosomal RNA, 503 nt
Filed under: uncultured bacterium
Lineage: Bacteria
Description: partial 16S ribosomal RNA
Rfam family: Bacterial small subunit ribosomal RNA
Source: RNAcentral
AUUGAACGCUGGCGGCAGGCUUAACACAUGCAAGUCGAGCGGGGUGAUGGUGCUUGCACUAUCACUUAGCGGCGGACGGGUGAGUAAUGCUUAGGAAUCUGCCUAUUAGUGGGGGACAACAUCUCGAAAGGGAUGCUAAUACCGCAUACGUCCUACGGGAGAAAGCAGGGGAUCACUUGUGACCUUGCGCUAAUAGAUGAGCCUAAGUCGGAUUAGCUAGUUGGUGGGGUAAAGGCCUACCAAGGCGACGAUCUGUAGCGGGUCUGAGAGGAUGAUCCGCCACACUGGGACUGAGACACGGCCCAGACUCCUACGGGAGGCAGCAGUGGGGAAUAUUGGACAAUGGGGGGAACCCUGAUCCAGCCAUGCCGCGUGUGUGAAGAAGGCCUUAUGGUUGUAAAGCACUUUAAGCGAGGAGGAGGCCCUUUUGGUUAAUACCCAAGAUGAGUGGACGUUGCUCGCAGAAUAAGCACCGGCUAACUCUGUGCCAGCAGCCGCAGUAA